This 509-nucleotide long non-coding RNA is filed under the name Lathyrus oleraceus (garden pea). RNAcentral describes it as "Pisum sativum (pea) long non-coding RNA (PSAT_LNC002909)". The record is from RNAcentral. Lineage: Eukaryota; Viridiplantae; Streptophyta; Magnoliopsida; Fabales; Fabaceae.
AUCCUUUUAAUCAUUAGUUAUUUCCUUUAUUGCAAACUGAUUUAAGAAGUCCAAAAUUUAGAAAGAUAAUAAAACACAAUACUCUUAACUUGAUAUUUAUUUUUCAUUCGAUUCAUUUGAUACAUCCAAUUAACCAUAAAAAUUUCUUUGGUUAUACAUUUAGAGGCUAAUAAAAAAUACAUCAAAUUUACCCAAAAAUCUAAACAUACAAGUCUUAAGUAAAAAGAAAAAAAAAACUAUGCUCAAAAGAGAAACUAAAAAUGUUGUAAGAGCAAGUUAAAAAAGAAAACAAAAGGAAAUGACUACAAAAAUUAAAAGAAAAACAUCAAACAAAGACAACUUAGAAAGACUGUAGAAGUUUGGUGGAAGAAGAAGAAUGAGAUGGAGUUGUACAUUCCUUAAGUCCAACAUGAUCUUCACCAGUAACUCUUUAGCUCUGGGUUAAAUGAAACUUCGUCUAGACUUAUAACCUUUCCUUGCAGAGAGACGAGUUCACUCAGAACUCGUUC